UACAGAGGGUGCGAGCGUUGUCCGGAAUCACUGGGCGUAAAGGGCGCGUAGGCGGCCUGAUAAGUAGGGGGUGAAAUCCUGGGGCUUAACCUCAGGGCUGCCUUCUAGACUGUCCGGCUCGAGCACAGUAGAGGCAGGUGGAAUUCCCGGUGUAGCGGUGGAAUGCGUAGAGAUCGGGAAGAACAUCGGUGGCGAAGGCGGCCUGCUGGGCUGUUGCUGACGCUGAGGCGCGACAGCGUGGGGAGCAAACAGG
Molecule: ribosomal RNA, 253 nt
Filed under: uncultured bacterium
Lineage: Bacteria
Description: partial 16S ribosomal RNA
Rfam family: Bacterial small subunit ribosomal RNA
Source: RNAcentral